Molecule: ribosomal RNA, 466 nt
Filed under: uncultured bacterium
Lineage: Bacteria
Description: partial 16S ribosomal RNA
Rfam family: Bacterial small subunit ribosomal RNA
Source: RNAcentral
CGAACGCUGGCGGCGUGCUUAACACAUGCAAGUCGAACGGCAAGGCCCUGCUUUUGUGGGGUGCUCGAGUGGCGAACGGGUGAGUAGCACGUGAGUAACCUGCCCUUGACUUUGGGAUAACUUCAGGAAACUGGGGCUAAUACCGGAUAGGAGCUCCUGCUGCAUGGUGGGGGUUGGAAAGUUUCGGCGGUUGGGGAUGGACUCGCGGCUUAUCAGCUUGUUGGUGGGGUAGUGGCUUACCAAGGCUUUGACGGGUAGCCGGCCUGAGAGGGUGACCGGCCACAUUGGGACUGAGAUACGGCCCAGACUCCUACGGGAGGCAGCAGUGGGGAAUAUUGCACAAUGGGCGGAAGCCUGAUGCAGCAACGCCGCGUGCGGGAUGACGGCCUUCGGGUUGUAAACCGCUUUCGCCUGUGACGAAGCGUGAGUGACGGUAAUGGGUAAAGAAGCACCGGCUAACUACGUG